AAAUUGAAGAGUUUGAUCAUGGCUCAGAUUGAACGCUGGCGGCAGGCCUAACACAUGCAAGUCGAACGGUAACAGGAAGCAGCUUGCUGCUUCGCUGACGAGUGGCGGACGGGUGAGUAAUGUCUGGGAAACUGCCUGAUGGAGGGGGAUAACUACUGGAAACGGUGGCUAAUACCGCAUAACGUCGCAAGACCAAAGAGGGGGACCUUCGGGCCUCUUGCCAUCAGAUGUGCCCAGAUGGGAUUAGCUAGUUGGUGAGGUAACGGCUCACCAAGGCGA
Molecule: ribosomal RNA, 279 nt
Filed under: Salmonella enterica
Lineage: Bacteria; Pseudomonadati; Pseudomonadota; Gammaproteobacteria; Enterobacterales; Enterobacteriaceae
Also listed under: 3 other names
Description: partial 16S ribosomal RNA
Rfam family: Bacterial small subunit ribosomal RNA
Source: RNAcentral